UACAGAGGGGGCAAGCGUUGUUCGGAAUUACUGGGCGUAAAGGGCGCGUAGGCGGCCUGUUAAGUCGAACGUGAAAUCCCCGGGCUCAACCCGGGAACUGCGUCCGAUACUGGCAGGCUUGAAUCCGGGAGAGGGAUGUGGAAUUCCAGGUGUAGCGGUGAAAUGCGUAGAUAUCUGGAGGAACACCGGUGGCGAAGGCGGCCUACUGGGCUGCACCUGACGCUGAGCCGCGAAAGCCAGGGGAGCGAACGGG
RNAcentral lists this ribosomal RNA (253 nucleotides) under uncultured bacterium. Its description in RNAcentral is "partial 16S ribosomal RNA". It matches the Rfam family "Bacterial small subunit ribosomal RNA", at positions 524 to 776 of the family's 1533-position model. The record is from RNAcentral.